CCCAAACAUCCCGGCCUUUCUUGGACGCGAUGCCACCGGGAAGAGGCUCCACGGUGAAACCUCCCGUCCCAGCUCCCUGCGGGGUCCUCCUCCAAACACAUUCCUCUAGCGUUUUCUUUAAAUUUAUUUAGAUUUUUUUUUUUUAAAUUAUUAUUAUUAUGUUUUAAAUCCCCAACUUCGCCACCAAGGAGUUGCUUUAUUUCAUUUUCCUUGACGUAGCAACAAAACUCCCGGGACUGGUGCCAAGGCUCGAGUGCAUUUAAAUGAACAAACAGCAACAAAAAGUUGUUUGUGAUCCUUCUCAGGCUGGAAUAUUAAAAGCAUGAUGGGGGUUAUGCUCUGUGUACACUGGAAAGUGUAGGAUAAUGGAACUCCUCCGUCAGGGAGUCGCUCUGAGCAACCACUUGGUGCUGCAGAUGUUGGAGGGACACAAACUUCAGAUCUGGGCAGGGAAAAUCCCCGCUCGGACACGGUUCCUUGGGUUACCCCUGCAGCCAGACCUCCACACACAAAACCCCGCUGGACACCACUCCUUUUCCCAGUGCAGAGGUGCCUGUUUAUCCCGAAAAUGGGAGCUGUUCCCAACACACCGUAACCGAGGGCGCAAACAGCCCUGCCACCAGCUGUUGGCGUGCAGAGCUGCCUCCACAGCAGAAGCAGAAGAUGAAGCCACCCUCCGAUUUCAGAUUUGAAGGGAAAACCGAGCCCGACUCCAGACAAAGUUUCUGUGCAAACCCACCAGCCUCGAACAAAAGCAGCGUGAAUUAAUAAAGGGGGAAGAAAAACAGAAGCUCUGUUCUGAAGUGGAAGCAUAAGAUGUGAAAUUUCAAAAUCAGAUGGCUCGGGCUGUGAUUUCUUUCAUUUAAAUGAAUUGAUCUGUUGCUAAACUGCUGCUCUGGUGCCAAGAAACUUUUAACUCUUUCGGCUCAAAGCUUGCCGCGUUUCUGGUUCCUCUCUGCUCCCGACAAGGCAGCGAUUAAAUCAGAGGGGAGAAGUGAAAAAGGGAGUGGGGAAGAAAAAAUCCGAGGGCAUAAAAAGGACGGGGGAAUGAAACCCACAGGCAGCACAGGCAGAGCACAAAAGGGCCCCGGGCUGGUGCUUCGGGAGAACUUCUGCUGGACAAACAACGAGGGUCUGCCUCCUGCAGCGUUCCUAAAACUUGGAGAGGAGUCAGAGAGGCCUUCGAGCUCCACAACUGCAGAACUCUGGGGUAAAGCCACCAGAAGCAGGGCUAGCAGCAAGGAAAACCCCGAAAUGCCUGACCUGAUUCACGGCAAAUGUUCACUUACCGAGAAUGCCUUAAGCAUUUCCAACAGAACCCCCUCUUCCCUACACGUGUGAAAAAGAACAACCAAAAAAAGCUCUCAAAACCAGCCCAAAAAAAUAACUGCUCUGGUAAAAAUUUGGGUGAAAGUCCCUACAGCUUUCCCAUUUGGUUUUGGGGUUGUUUUGCCCAUUUCAAAAGGGAACAAAAUUUUUUUCAAAAUUUGAAGAUAGACAUGUUGUAAUUAGAGGUAAUUCCAGGGGAAAAAUAUUUAUGUGUAGAGCAAAAAAAUCCCCAAAAACACCAAAAAAAAAAAAAAAAAAAAAAAGGAAAAAAUAAAAGAAAAAUAUAUUUACAUAUCUCUAUAUCUCCCACUUUCCAGUUCUGCUGCAGUUCCCCCUAAACUGCUGCUGCUUGCUCCAAUCUGCUGCCUGCUUAACAACGGAAUGACAGGCAACAUCUGUUUGUAUAGAAGCCAAGAUCAAGCCUUCAAAAUUUUUUUGGCUCAGUUUCUUUUUUUUUUUUCUACACCCUCCCCUUAG
Corvus hawaiiensis (hawaiian crow) is the source of this 1806-nucleotide long non-coding RNA. RefSeq lists it as uncharacterized. NCBI's taxonomy places the organism in Eukaryota, Metazoa, Chordata, Aves, Passeriformes, Corvidae. The transcript has 2 exons. The record is from RefSeq and is a predicted model, not a curated record.